This is a long non-coding RNA of Galendromus occidentalis (western predatory mite), 623 nucleotides long. RefSeq lists it as uncharacterized. The transcript is spliced from 3 exons. Lineage: Eukaryota; Metazoa; Arthropoda; Arachnida; Mesostigmata; Phytoseiidae. The record is from RefSeq and is a predicted model, not a curated record.
GUUGAUUCCAGCUCACUUUGAGACAUUACGGAAUUCCAUCGGAAAAAGAUGAGGUCGCUCAUAUUCCCGUGUCUCGUGCUAGCGGUCAUCGUCUGCGAAUCAUAUGGAGCAUUCCUUUGUGGGGAUGACCUUUGCCAGGACUGGCAAUCUUGCUGCACAGAAGACGAUGGGGCUCAACAUUGCUGCGCAUCUAAUACUAGGCCUGAAAUCUGCCCCGAUAGGAAGCAUGACUGUCCUCGAGGCUGGAAGUGCGACUCGGCAGGAGUUUGCAAGAAAGGGUCCUCAAAGAUGAAGGCGCGCAAGAUCAAAGAAGGUCGCUCAAUGAAUCGAAGCCGGAAUCCUUCGGGUCGUUUCGGCUCUUAAGCCAACGACUCCGAACUCCCCCUAUGACGAUUACCACCGAUCCAGGGGAAGAUCUAGUUCGUCGGAAAUCACCAGAGCCCUACGCCGCUAAGGAGAGUCGCGCUUGAUGAAGUCUUGCGAGCGCAAAAGUCGGGGAGCCUCCGAACUCCGUCUCCACAGCUCUGAAUGGCCCACGGCGGGAACAGGCCACGGAUCAUCAGCGUAUUCUCCAUUUUCGCGGAAAGAUGAAUUUCUCAAUGAACUACAAUGUCUCGUGAUCA